Molecule: ribosomal RNA, 505 nt
Filed under: uncultured bacterium
Lineage: Bacteria
Description: partial 16S ribosomal RNA
Rfam family: Bacterial small subunit ribosomal RNA
Source: RNAcentral
GACGAACGCUGGCGGCGUGCCUAAUACAUGCAAGUAGAACGCACAGUUUAUACCGUAGCUUGCUACACCAUAGACUGUGAGUUGCGAACGGGUGAGUAACGCGUAGGUAACCUGCCUGGUAGCGGGGGAUAACUAUUGGAAACGAUAGCUAAUACCGCAUAAUAUUGAUUAUUGCAUGAUAAUUGAUUGAAAGAUGCUAUUGCAUCACUACCAGAUGGACCUGUGUUGUAUUAGCUAGUAGGUGAGGUAACGGCUCACCUAGGCGACGAUACAUAGCCGACCUGGGAGGGUGAUCGGCCACACUGGGACUGAGACACGGCCCAGGCUUCUACGGGAGGCAGCAGUAGGGAAUCUUCGGCAAUGGACGAAAGUCUGACCGAGCAACGCCGCGUGAGUGAAGAAGGGUUUCGGAUCGGAAAGCUCGGUUGUAAGAGAAGAACGGGUGUGAGAGUGGAAAGUUCACACUGUGACGGUAUCUUACCAGAAAGGGACGGCUAACUACGUG